RNAcentral lists this ribosomal RNA (143 nucleotides) under Pseudocercospora sennae-multijugae. RNAcentral describes it as "partial 28S ribosomal RNA". It matches the Rfam family "Eukaryotic large subunit ribosomal RNA", at positions 1 to 146 of the family's 3401-position model. The record is from RNAcentral. Lineage: Eukaryota; Fungi; Ascomycota; Dothideomycetes; Mycosphaerellales; Mycosphaerellaceae.
GUUGACCUCGGAUCAGGUAGGGAUACCCGCUGAACUUAAGCAUAUCAAUAAGCGGAGGAAAAGAAACCAACAGGGAUUGCCCUAGUAACGGCGAGUGAAGCGGCAACAGCUCAAAUUUGAAAUCUGGCGUAAGCCCGAGUUGU